Lemur catta (Ring-tailed lemur) is the source of this 1493-nucleotide long non-coding RNA. RefSeq lists it as uncharacterized. The transcript has 4 exons. Lineage: Eukaryota; Metazoa; Chordata; Mammalia; Primates; Lemuridae. The record is from RefSeq and is a predicted model, not a curated record.
UUUAUCUUGGUCCGGGUUAGGCCGGAUGAAGUCAACUAGCCAACAAAUCUGCCAUUGUUUCUGAGGGGAAGAGGAGGCGCAACAGCAGUUCUCUAACCGCUUAAUUACCUUCAGUUUUGGGAAAACGAAGGCUGGAUUUGAAUAGGGCAUUUGCAUAUCUACACAGCUUUGCUUCUCCCCACUUCCUCCCAAAACUCGCAGGAAACUCCUGCUGCUCUGUCCGAUAUCAGGAACCUUUUUUUCUUUUUGGUCUUUGGCUAGAAAAGGGAAGCCGCUGAGACUACCAAGUGGAAGAGUGUAGAUUUCACGUGCAACGUGGCUCGGCCUUCCCUGAGAGCGCUGGCCUUGCUGUAGAGAGAGAAUGAAUGGAUAUGGGGACAAGCACCUAGACUGCCUCCAACUCCCCACUGCCACUAAUGCUGCCAUGAGCAUCUUCACACGUGCCCCCUGGACCUAUGGGAGAAUCCCUAGGAAUCAGUAGCACGCUGCUCGUUAGAAAACCUCAGCUGCAAGGUUGCUUUUGGAAGCAGCAGGGCUGUCUGGUCUCCCUGCUCCACACCGUCUUGGUCCCCUUCCCAGCGAGGCCUGGAGGGACGUUUGCUUCGCCUCAAGGUUGGACAAAUUCAAAAUACUUGACUCUUCCCUGCGGUGUACACUUUUCGGAUUCAGGAGUAGCUGGAAAUAUUGGAAAUCUACAUCCCUUCAGAUUUUGCAAAACCCAACCUGUUAUGAGGAUUCUUGUGCAUUUGUCACGGAUGACAUCUGCCCGGAGAGGAAAGACCAAACCACAACUGCCGUGGAAUGAACUAUUUGAAACGGAUCUGUCUCAUCCCGAGGCACAUCACAGGAUGGAUCUCAGCAUUUAAAAGACUGUGUACACCUUACUCAGUAUUUAAAAUCUCUCACCUGUCUUCCUCCUGGGGCCUGGAAGCAAGUUUGUGACAGAAGGAGGCAUAUGCAUGAGGAACCUUUUCUAAUGUUCUCCGCAUUGUUGCUUCUCAGACUUUAAUGUGGGGACCAGUCGCCUGGGCCUCUUGUUAAAAUGCACAUUCUGAUCCUUCAGGCUCAGGUCGGAGCCCAGGAUUCUACAUUUUUAACAGUGCUAGGUGGUGCCUAUGAACCACACUGGUCAGGCCUCAUGUCCUCCCUGGCAGUGGGGGAGUGGGUAUGGAGUGGGCAUAGUGCAAAGUACUGGAAAGUUGUCCUGGCUGUCCUCAGUCCCACCAACGUUCUGCUCACUGUGGGACCCCUUCAAAAAUACAGCUGAUUCUUGAACAACGGGUGUGUGUGUGUGUGUGUGUGUAUGUGUGUUAGGGGUGAUGACCCCUCCACCCCAGCGUGCAGUGGAAAAUCCAUGUAUAACUUCUGACUCCCCCGAAACUUUACUAAUAGCCUACUGUUGGCCCGAAGCCUUCCUGAUAACAUAACCAGUCAGUUAACACAUACUUUGUAUAUGUAUUAUAUACUGUAUUCUUACAAUAUAAAGUAAGCUA